Molecule: ribosomal RNA, 492 nt
Filed under: uncultured bacterium
Lineage: Bacteria
Description: partial 16S ribosomal RNA
Rfam family: Bacterial small subunit ribosomal RNA
Source: RNAcentral
AUUGAACGCUGGCGGCAUGCUUUACACAUGCAAGUCGAACGGUAACAGGCCUUCGGGUGCUGACGAGUGGCGAACGGGUGAGUAAUGCAUCGGAACAUGCCCAGAGGUGGGGGAUAACGCAGCGAAAGCUGUGCUAAUACCGCAUGUGAUCUGAGGAUGAAAGCGGGGGACCAGGCAGCAAUGUUUGGCCUCGCGCCUUUGGAGCGGCCGAUGUCAGAUUAGGUAGUUGGUGGGGUAAAGGCCUACCAAGCCGACGAUCUGUAGCUGGUCUGAGAGGACGACCAGCCACACUGGGACUGAGACACGGCCCAGACUCCUACGGGAGGCAGCAGUGGGGAAUUUUGGACAAAGGGCGCAAGCCUGAUCCAGCAAUGCCGCGUGCGGGAAGAAGGCCUUCGGGUUGUAAACCGCUUUUGUACGGAACGAAAAGGCUCUGGCUAAUACCUGGGGCUGAUGACGGUACCGUAAGAAUAAGCACCGGCUAACUACGUG